This 501-nucleotide ribosomal RNA is filed under the name uncultured bacterium. RNAcentral describes it as "partial 16S ribosomal RNA". It matches the Rfam family "Bacterial small subunit ribosomal RNA", at positions 30 to 523 of the family's 1533-position model. The record is from RNAcentral.
AUUGAGCGCUGGCGGAAUGCUUUACACAUGCAAGUCGAACGGCAGCACGGACUUCGGUCUGGUGGCGAGUGGCGAACGGGUGAGUAAUGUAUCGGAACGUGCCCAGUCGUGGGGGAUAACGUAGUGAAAAUUACGCUAAUACCGCAUACGAUCUAUGGAUGAAAGCGGGGGAUCGUAAGGCCUCGCGCGAUUGGAGCGGCCGAUGUCAGAUUAGGUAGUUGGUGAGGUAAAGGCUCACCAAGCCGACGAUCUGUAGCUGGUCUGAGAGGACGACCAGCCAAACUGGGACUGGGACACGGCCCAGACUCCUACGGGAGGCAGCAGUGGGGAAUAUUGGACAAUGGGGGGAACCCUGAUCCAGCCAUGCCGCGUGUGUGAAGAAGGCCUUAUGGUUGUAAAGCGCUUUAAGCGAGGAGGAGGCUCUUUUGGUUAAUACCCAAGAUGAGUGGACGUUACUCGCAGAAUAAGCACCGGCUAACUCUGUGCCAGCCGCCGCCGUAA